CGUCAGGGUAGGGGAACGAUUCGUAGGACCUUACAAAGUAUGAGCAGAAAAUAUUUACUGCUAUACAACGUGAGAUUGACGAAGCUAAUGUUGAUGUGGAAAAAAUAUGCAUGAUUUGUAGAUAUUAUAAUAUCAGAAAAAAAAGGGAGGAGAGAGAGAGAGAGAGA
Molecule: long non-coding RNA, 167 nt
Organism: Pseudomyrmex gracilis
Lineage: Eukaryota; Metazoa; Arthropoda; Insecta; Hymenoptera; Formicidae
Exons: 2
Source: RefSeq, a predicted model, not a curated record